Molecule: long non-coding RNA, 2224 nt
Filed under: Schizosaccharomyces pombe (fission yeast)
Lineage: Eukaryota; Fungi; Ascomycota; Schizosaccharomycetes; Schizosaccharomycetales; Schizosaccharomycetaceae
Source: RNAcentral
AAUAACGUUUUUUGUACCAGCUUUUUUGGCCACUUCUAAAGCUUCAGAGUAAGUACUGUGUUGCUUUUUUAUUGCAAUUUCGUGCAUAGAGUCUUCCAAAGUAGCUUCGUGAAUUAAUAAAGUUGAGUCUUUGGCAAUGUUAGCAAAAUCCUCAGAAGGUCGAGUAUCUCCAGAGUAUGCGAUCUUCCAACCACUGGAAUUAGUAAUCUCCAUGCAAUAUGAAUACGGGCAGUGUAUGGCAGGAACCGUUCGAAAAGAUACUAAAUCAAAUUCUUUAAAUAAAGAAGACAACCUAGAGGAUUCCAAAGCAGACGGCUUCCUGUCAGUACGUAAAGCACUAUUGGAAAUAAAUACGAUGUUGGAUAAUGGUAGAUAAUCAAUCCUUGAGUAUUCUAGUAGCCAAAAUUCAAAUUGUGGAGGUGCUGUUAUAAACAACUUUGAUCUGCCAUCUGAGUACUUCGUCCAAGCCUUUAAAACCCCUAUAACACCAGCAUGAUGGUCAGCAUGCAUAUGGGAGAUAUAAAUCCAUCGUAAAGAAGCUAUUUCGUAUUUUAAAUUGUCACCAUACUGCCUCGAUAGACGUCCCAAAGUGCCCUCUCCACAGUCCAAAAGUAUGUUUUUCAUACUGAUAGCUGAGUCUUCCAUACAUUUUUUGUCAACGGGAAUUCUAACGUAAGUAGAUGAAACAUUUCUGUAUAAAGAAGGCAUUGCAGAUCCAGUGCCAAGAGUACAAAUUUGGAUGUCAGAACCUGCAAAGCUCGGUGCCUUUGGUUUAUCACUAACAUAUUUUUGAGCUUCUUCAACAAAUGAUUUAUAAUCUGGUUUCUCUUUCAAAAUUUUAUCCUUCAACUCUUCAAUCGAAACCCCAACUUCCGAAUCGUCAAUACCAGUUUUUUUUCCAAACGCAAAACGCAGUUUGGGUUUGGCAAAAGCAAUUCGAUUGUUUUUUUGUACAUUUUUAACUUCAUAGCAGUUAAAGCCUAAAGGAAAAACUUUUGAAUCUAACAAAUUAAGUGUUGCAAUAGCGACUGCACUCCUAGGAUAAUUUAUUACUUCGUUUACUUCAGUCGAAGCAAUUAGAUGGCUCACCUCACUUGGGAAUGAAGAAAUCCAGCUCUGAUAACGUGGAUUUUUGUAUACUUCUGGUGUAACCGAAUGAAUGACACAAACAGGUUUAGGUGCAUUUGUCCAUUUAUGAUUUUCAAUGACCAAGUCAAUUACGAGUUCGUUGGGGCAAUGAAUAAUAAAAAAGGAGGAGCCAGGAAUAGAAGGACCAAUCACUUCUUUUGGAUAUACUGUUUUUCCGUUUUCAAGAGUUACAGGUUCUCCUCGAGCGAGUCUACCACAGUCUAAUCCUUUCGUGAUACCAAGCGAUUUUGCUUUUGCGGCGUCAAAUUUCCCUGGGGUAGGAUGGGAUUGAACAAUAUAAGAAAUAAACAGCUCUGGCUUGUCUGGUUCCAAAGGAGCCGGAGUGUUAUACAUUGCAUUCUCAACGACGAAUGAUGUAUCAUUGGAAACGUGAGAAUACCAAUGAGGAGAAGUAUUUGCUCUAUCCUCUUUUAAUGGUCUUGCAUUUGUACCUCUGUUAAUGUUUUCAUGCUUCCUUUUUUUAAAAGAAUUUUUAACUAGUGAAACAACUACCGGAGUUACACAAAUAUUUUCAUCAACGAAUACUGGGGCCUCAGCCGAAGUAUAUCCCUGUACCGUUAAAUUUACAUUCGUAUGAUAAGUGAAAUGCCGCAUCGAAGAUAAAAACUGAUGAACUUCACUAGGUCCAUGAAGGACAAAAGGACUAGCUUCUCCGGUUUCCCCAGGUUCCGAAAUAUCAUUGAGAGACAGCAAAAAGCCUAUUGUCAGAAAUUAUUAAAUAUAUUUAACACUUACCUGGAAACCCACCACAAGAAUCCCACCAUGUAGGAUAGUUUACAGUCGAGCACAUACUAUUACGUUCAGAUACAAUAACUUUGUCCCGAUCAUCCAGCUGUAGCAUAUCAGAAACAGAGGUAGUAGACGAUGAAGAAGAAGAAUCAUAUGUAUCUGGUGAUGAUAUUGAAGAUCCUUGCAUUAAGAAGACAUCUUUAAUCUUUGAUAAUCGAAGCUGUUGGGAGAGUAUAGCUCUUUGACAACCUUCCCCUACGCUUCCAAAUACAUACCUCUUAGAAUCAAAAAAUAAGUGGAUGCAGGGAAUACAAGAUGUAUCCCGAGAACUGACGCUCACAAAUUG